Clarias gariepinus (North African catfish) is the source of this 1889-nucleotide long non-coding RNA. RefSeq lists it as uncharacterized. The transcript is spliced from 2 exons. The record is from RefSeq and is a predicted model, not a curated record. Lineage: Eukaryota; Metazoa; Chordata; Actinopteri; Siluriformes; Clariidae.
AUUACGUACAACUCUAUGUAAAAUUACUAUAAUACAUUGUAAUUAAAUAUUAAACUCAUUAGAUAAAGGUUAAUGUCCAUACUAAAAAUUUAGUGUUUUUCUUUGUAAGUUAGAGGAAAAUCAUAUUAGUUUUAUAAUACCUUGACAUUCAAUAUUCAGAUGAAAAUUUAGCAUUUUUUUCAUGAUUUUUGAAAAGAUUAUCCACAAGAAGUGUUACAGGUAAGGAAGCAGAAACCCCACACUUAUAUGUAGGCUAUAGUAUCUGCUUCAUGCCUUCAAAGAAUGUGAAGAGAAUGUAGGAGACUGAUACUCAGUGCAGCACCCAUGCACACGUUGUAAACGCCACAAAUAUUCUUUUUGUUCUGAUGACAUUUGUUCCGAAAUAUCACCACGGCAAUCUAGCCAUCACCUUUUUUUAAUGCAGGCCUGAAUAUUCUGACACUAGGAUAAUGUAUUUGCUGUGUAGCUGUUUUAAAGCAGCACUUUAAGUUACAUUUUGAGAUUUUGCUUAUGGGAACGAUGGUGUUAUUUUUGUACCAAAAACGUUAGCGAAAACUCCACGAACUCUCCGCGUUAACUGUCACAUGCAAUCAGAAGCUGCAGGUGGAAGCAUUCUAAUCUUGUUUCUGAUUGGCUGAUCAACAGCUUGAGGUAUUCUAAAUACCGCUUAAGACGAAGAUAUUCUAAUUACCGCUUUAUUAUUGGCGCAUUUAAAUAAGCGCACGGGUGAGGGCGCGAUCUGACGCGAAAUUUGUUUAUUGCUUAGGUCUCAGACACAGAUGUAACGUGAUAUAAACCAGCCAAUCGGAAACAGGGGUCCUUCAAACGUUUAGCGCGCGCAAAAGUGGUCUACAGCCGGUAAACGGUUUCUGUGUAAAUUCAGAGGAGUUAAGACACGUUGAUGAGCUACAGGUGAGGAGGAAAGCAGUCUCUGAGGGACAGAGGAGAAGACCCUGAAAUGUAUUGUUUUAGUAGGAAAAAGAAUACCUGCAAGCUCAAGAGACAUUGACGGCAAAAGGUGAGUCUCAGGUACCGUUAACAUUACUCUGCCAUGUCACUGCUGAGAAGCUGCAGAAAUCCCCUUAUACCUAUAAGGGUAAAGAAGUCAAAUGGACAGGGAGGUUUAGCGAGCUCUUUAAGAGCAUCCACAUUAAGAAUUUCGAGAGUCAGUGUGUCUACUGUACUCUGAAACCUAACGGCAAUAUAAGUAUUAGUGUCUGACACUGUUAGCCUGACAGGGUCAGAGAUGACUUAUGUUACAUUAACAGCUGCUUUUACUCUCCAAAAUGUAAACUUCCACAAACAUUGUGUAUUUGUACUUUUAAACGACUUAUCCCAUUCAGUAAAUUUAUGUCAAUACUUCAGUCAAAAUAAAUGUAUAUUCAUGUAAAUAUUCUCACAUAUAUAAUACAGUAUAUACAUUGACACAUCUUGUUCUAAUUCAAUAGAGAUCAAUAUGUUGAAAACGUAUGUAUAUGUAGCUGCCUGCUUCUGUGUGAUAUUUACAUUAACAUUUUCCAGCUCUGAUUACUGCCAGUGAUAAUGAAACUUGCUUACAUUUUUAGAUUAAACAUUUACUAUGGAAGAAGAGGCAUCCAGUAGAGAGACAAGUCCAUAGAGUGCAAUAUAAGACUACUUUGAAUCUUUCCAUGGUGAUUUAAAAGUUAACUCCUUCAACCUUGGAUCAUUUUGAGUCCUUUUUUUUUUUUUUUUUUUUUUACUGUGUAGAGAUCCUUUCCGUAUUAUCUCACUUAUAACCUUUAUUAGCCUGUCAGUGGUCAAAAUAAGUUGUUCACACUGAUGCACGUGCCUGUUGGAUUAAAUUGCAUUGCAUUUGUGUGAAUGCUGGUUGUAGCGUUCAAAUUUGAUACUGGACUGAUUCCGACUAU